This 508-nucleotide ribosomal RNA is filed under the name uncultured bacterium. RNAcentral's name for it is "partial 16S ribosomal RNA". It matches the Rfam family "Bacterial small subunit ribosomal RNA", at positions 28 to 523 of the family's 1533-position model. The record is from RNAcentral.
GAUGAACGCUAGCUACAGGCUUAACACAUGCAAGUCGAGGGGAAACGAUAUUGGAAGCUUGCUUCCGAUAGGCGUCGACCGGCGCACGGGUGAGUAACGCGUAUCCAACCUGCCCACCACUUGGGGAUAACCUUGCGAAAGUAAGACUAAUACCCAAUGAUAUCUCUAGAAGACAUCUGAAGGAGAUUAAAGAUUUAUCGGUGAUGGAUGGGGAUGCGUCUGAUUAGCUUGUUGGCGGGGUAACGGCCCACCAAGGCGACGAUCAGUAGGGGUGCUGAGAGGAAGGUCCCCCACAUUGGAACUGAGAUACGGUCCAAACUCCUACGGGAGGCAGCAGUGAGGAAUAUUGGUCAAUGGGCGAGAGCCUGAACCAGCCAAGUAGCGUGCAGGAUGACGGCCCUAUGGGUUGUAAACUGCUUUUAUAAGGGAAUAAAGUGAGCCUCGUGAGGCUUUUUGCAUGUACCUUAUGAAUAAGGACCGGCUAAUUCCGUGCCAGCCGCCGCAGUAA